UCAAGAGUAGACCUUCAGGUCUGAUAGUGAUGAUUGUGAAAACAAUAUUAUUAAUAAAAUAUUAUGAAAAACGUUCAAGGAUACAGAAUUAUCAACUAUUUCAAAGACCUGUAAACAUAAUAAUACCUUUCGUGUCUGUUACAUUCUAGAUAUCUAUAAUAGUAAGCUGCGUACAGUGCGGCAGGUUGCGACCGCGCAUCUAGAUUACGGUAGCGGUGGCUGUUGCCGCAGUAGACACGUCAUACGGGUGCCGCGUCGUGGGAGGGUCCCUUGGCAACGGCCCCUCUCGUCCUCGACAUAAUAGUUAUGCGUGGGCUACGCAUGACGUAACCAGUAUUACGUCCUCACCUAGAACAUCUACUGUGAUAAUGACGCACACGGGAUAUCUCGCAAGCGUCAGAACUUAAGGGUCACUUCAUUUAUGCAUGCUGUUUUAUUACGCCUUCAUACAUCCGGGAAUCGUGCACGAAACUGAAAUAUUGUAUGAAAUAAUGAUGCGUGGAACAUGUUCGCGGGUUUAAUCCGCUUGCGUGAUGAAUUGGUUUAUUAAAAACGAGUAUUAUUAAGUUAAUAUACAAGUGAAAUCGGAAUUGUUAACAUUAAUUUAAUAGUGUAUUCUAGUAAUUGUAGAGUGUAUUCUAUUUGACCACAACAGAAUAUCAGUGUUUUGCUCUUUUGAGGGCAAAGCAAUAAAUUGAGCUGUGACCAUUUUGUGUUAUUGUGGCACAUUCAUGAAAAAUUAUGUAACCUCUUUUAUGUGCUUUCUUAUAGUUUUUUUUUUUGUAUAUGUUUUGUUUUAUUUAUUUUUUAAGUACGUACCAAUAUUUAAUGUUAUUUGUGUGCUGUAAGUGACGCAAAUAAAUUAUGUAUCUAUGUAUCUAACAAUGAAAUGAAUUUAUUUUUAAGAAAAGCGCAGAUUGACAAAUGACAGACAUAUUUAAACCUCCAAUACUAUACAGCGCAUCCACUUAUUUAGAGGUAUGGUUAAUAUAAUAUCUAUAUUACCUAUAUCUCUAAUAUAUGAAUGAAUGAUUGAAUGAGUAUAUUUUAUUUGCAUUAUACAAUAUAGGAAAUAAGCAAGACAAUUUACAAACACAACAAUACAACAACAAUACAAUUGUAUAAGUACAGUAAGGCGGUCUUAUUGCUAAGAGCAAUCUUUUCAAGACAACUUUAAGGUAAAGGACUAAUUGUUGUACAACUACAUAUAUAUUGUAUCUAUUUAUUAUGUAAUAUGUAUAUAUUGGAUUUCUCUGGAUAUUGAUGGUGGAAAGAAGGUCAUCACUCAUUUCGUUAUCACCCAUAUUAAUCCGGUAUUUAUAUUAAUUUCGAUUGAUUUCUUUAUAUAAUAUUAUGUAAUGGGUACUUAACAUAUCUAUUAUUAGGCCUUUAUUCACUUGUAAAUAAAAUAUAUAGAUAUUGCUAUAUAUUACCUAUUAAGUUUUUUGUUAUGCAAUUUAGAAUAAAAAAUAAGCUAACGGCCCACCUGAUGGAACGUGGUAACUUUCGUCUAUAGAUAUAAAUAGUAUAUAAGUUAAUAUAAGAGGCUCAAAAAUUUUCAAUAAAUUUCUGUUUCAAUAUGUUCUAUGUUUAACGACUUAAAUUUUACAUUGUAUAGCUAAAAAGUAUUAUUUUAGUUCUUUAAUGUUAGAGUAGAUAACCUCAAUGGUAAAAAUAUUAAUUCUUUUUAUUAUUGACAGUCUAUUGAAGUUUGCUAGUCUACUAAUAAAACUUGAAGACCGAUGUCUUUUUCCUGUUGUACAUUAUUUUAUUAAGCUUUCUCCAACAUGGUAGCAGAGCGUAAAGUGAAUAUUUUAAUUACAUUUAAUACGUCUAACGAUACCUACGUCCAGUCGCAGUUAGUACAGAAACAGUUUCGGCUUAGGCAGUUACUAAUACUAGAUACUAACCUAUGCGCUUAGUUUGAAUACCUGAAAUAUCAGUCAAAUCCGUUCUGCAGUUUAGGCGUGAUUGAGUAACAAACAUACAAACAUUCAAUCAUCUAUACAAGCUUUUAUAUAUUUUUCGUAAGAUAAUCAGUUAUCGUAGUUUUAAGUCAACGAAGUAAUAUUAUUAAUAUUUGAUGUUUAGCGUUUGUGCCUUAUUUAGAUACAACAGUUAUUUUGUUCCGUGAAUUAACUUCUCAAAUCAACUUUCUACUAUUUACCUGCGAGAUCCAUUAUAAAUAAAAGUGUAUUAGUUGUUCAAAUAACAAUUUAUUUAUUUAUUACUUUGUGGAUAGAAAGCAGAUUUAGUUAAACGUAGUCUUGCCCGCAUGGCAUCGGAUUUAUAUGCUGAACAAUAAACCUGAUGUCAUGUAGGCAGUAAAUGUAGUAUUUAUACUAUAUUAUAUUAUCCAAUUGUUCUUUUAUUUUUACCUAUAUAAAUAAAAUAUAAAUAGGCAACUUAUAUACAUAGGAGAUAUAUAACAAAAAAAUAUAUGAACGGUCUUAAUAUCCGAUCUGAGCAAAAGCCAAAACAAUAAUCUUUAGAAAUUGGGACAUGAAAAAACGUACGAUGGAAGACCGCCAACCUCUGCGUUUUUCAAUUCACUUUAUUCCACGCACAACCACUCUUUGGAAUCAACUUCCAGCAGCAGUAUUUCCGAACCGAUACGACAUUAUAACCUUCAAGAAAAGAGCAUAUUCCUUUUUAAAAGGCCGACAGCAUACCUGCAAUGCCUUUGGUGCUAUAGGUGAUUAUUGGCAGCGGUAGUCACUUACCAUCAGGUGAGCAGCAUGCUCGUUUGCCCCCUGUGUUGUAAAAAAAAAAAGAUUUUCUGUCGGUUUGAUUAAGCGUCACGUAAAAUAUGGGACCUAUAUAUUUUAGUUACAAUGUCUAUAUAUUUUUCAUGUGAUCUACAGUGGGAGGGUAUUCAGAAAAGGGGUAAAAAUGUUUCUUCAGAUUCGGCAAUACGCGCGUAAUGCCUGCGAAUCGUUUAUAGGCUACGGUAAUUGCUUACCAUCAGGUGGGCCAUAUGUUUAUCAUCUCAGUGAUAUAAAAAAUAUAUUGGCUGAAUAACGAAUAUGUUAAAUAUCUGUUAUCCAUUAUACAAUAUCGAAAUUAAGAACCCAGUAUCAUGGGUAUUAUAGGUAUCAUAUUACCAAUGCCUAAUAGUGUUGUAAUAAUAAAAAGGUCUAAAUCGAAAUGUUAUUUGUUCAUUAAUAAAAAGUAAUAAACAUAAUUACUAUAAUAAGUUGUUCACGAUAUCGAUAUAUAUACAUUAUAUCGAUAUUUUAUGUCCAUGAUGCUGCUCAGGUCUAUGGGUGGUCUAUAUACCACUUUCCAUCAGGUGGGCCGUCAGCUUGUUUGCCAUUCUAAGUUGUAUAAAAAAAAAGAUAUUGAUAUGUAAUAUUACUUAAUUUUUGACCUGUUUAUUAUAUUAUUUAGGACUAGCUUUUUACCUGUUACUUUGCACGCGUGGAUUUCAAAAGUAGAAAACUAAUAUAAUAUAAAUAGAAAUAGACUACAUGUAGAUAGCUUAUCAAGAUGAAACAUACAUCAGAUUUUAAGUAAAAUAUCCAAAAACACAACUGUGAAAACCGCAUCUAAUUUAUAAUAGUUUUUACGUAAAGCCAGAACAAACAUGUACACAGACAGAGAGAUAAACUUUCUAAAAAUUAUUGUUACGGCAUUUACUUGUUUUACUUCUACUUGAAAUCUAUGCGUACGAAAUAGCGGGCAAAAAGCUAGUAAUAAAUAUAAAUAAAAAAUCUAGGCAAAGCGUCGAAAUAACAAUAAGGUAAAUAAGUACAUACUUACCUAAUUGAUCGUAUUAAUUUCCGUUUCUUAUGAACUACUAGGUAUGUACCAAAUUGUUCCCGAAUGACUGCAUUCAAGCAAGCAACACGAACGUUUUUAGAAUGUUCGUAACAUGUUUUUGGUAUGUGCAUUAAAUAAUAAAUGGACAAGUAAAGGCAACGUUCGGUCUAACUCAACUUAAUAAAGUAAAUGAUGUUAA
Molecule: long non-coding RNA, 3961 nt
Organism: Galleria mellonella (greater wax moth)
Lineage: Eukaryota; Metazoa; Arthropoda; Insecta; Lepidoptera; Pyralidae
Exons: 3
Source: RefSeq, a predicted model, not a curated record